RNAcentral lists this ribosomal RNA (253 nucleotides) under uncultured bacterium. RNAcentral describes it as "partial 16S ribosomal RNA". It matches the Rfam family "Bacterial small subunit ribosomal RNA", at positions 524 to 776 of the family's 1533-position model. The record is from RNAcentral.
UACGUAGGGUCCGAGCGUUGUCCGGAGGUACUGGGCGUAAAGCGCGCGCAGGCGGUCUUUUAAGUCAGAGGUGAAAGCCCGGGGCUCAACCCCGGAAUAGCCUUUGAAACUGGAAGACUUGAAUCUUGGAGAGGUCAGUGGAAUUCCGAGUGUAGAGGUGAAAUUCGUAGAUAUUCGGAAGAACACCAGUGGCGAAGGCGACUGACUGGACAAGUAUUGACGCUGAGGUGCGAAAGCGUGGGGAGCAAACAGG